AAGACCUUGCGCUUUUGGAGCGGCCGAUGUCUGAUUAGCUUGUUGGUGAGGUAAAAGCUUACCAAGGCUUCGAUCAGUAGCUGGUCUGGGAGGACGACCAGCCACACUGGGACUGAGACACGGCCCAGACUCCUACGGGAGGCAGCAGUGGGGAAUUUUGGACAAUGGGGGCAACCCUGAUCCAGCCAUGCCGCGUGAGUGAAGAAGGCCUUCGGGUUGUAAAGCUCUUUCAGCCGGAACGAAACGGUUACGGUUAAUACCCGUGACUACUGACGGUACCGGAAGAAGAAGCACCGGCUAACUACGUGCCAGCAGCCGCGGUAAUACGUAGGGUGCGAGCGUUAAUCGGAAUUACUGGGCGUAAAGCGUGCGCAGGUGGUUUUGUAAGUCAGAUGUGAAAUCCCCGGGCUCAACCUGGGAACU
This 423-nucleotide ribosomal RNA is filed under the name uncultured bacterium. RNAcentral's name for it is "bacterial SSU rRNA". It matches the Rfam family "Bacterial small subunit ribosomal RNA", at positions 207 to 622 of the family's 1533-position model. The record is from RNAcentral.